GAUGAACGCUGGCGGCGUGCUUAACACAUGCAAGUCGAACGAUGAAGCCCAGCUUGCUGGGUGGAUUAGUGGCGAACGGGUGAGUAACACGUGAGUAACCUGCCCUUGACUCUAGGAUAAGCCCGGGAAACUGGGUCUAAUACUGGAUAGGAACGUCUACCGCAUGGUGGGUGUUGGAAAGAAUUUCGGUCAUGGAUGGACUCGCGGCCUAUCAGCUUGUUGGUGAGGUAAUGGCUCACCAAGGCGACGACGGGUAGCCGGCCUGAGAGGGUGACCGGCCACACUGGGACUGAGACACGGCCCAGACUCCUACGGGAGGCAGCAGUGGGGAAUAUUGCACAAUGGGCGAAAGCCUGAUGCAGCGACGCCGCGUGAGGGAUGACGGCCUUCGGGUUGUAAACCUCUUUCAGUAGGGAAGAAGCGAAAGUGACGGUACCUGCAGAAGAAGCACCGGCUAACUACGU
This 464-nucleotide ribosomal RNA is filed under the name uncultured bacterium. Its description in RNAcentral is "partial 16S ribosomal RNA". It matches the Rfam family "Bacterial small subunit ribosomal RNA", at positions 28 to 506 of the family's 1533-position model. The record is from RNAcentral.